RNAcentral lists this ribosomal RNA (330 nucleotides) under Bacillus sp. B1-WWTP-T-0.5-Post-4. RNAcentral describes it as "bacterial SSU rRNA". It matches the Rfam family "Bacterial small subunit ribosomal RNA", at positions 1 to 318 of the family's 1533-position model. Lineage: Bacteria; Bacillati; Bacillota; Bacilli; Caryophanales; Bacillaceae. The record is from RNAcentral.
UUUAUUGGAGAGUUUGAUCCUGGCUCAGGAUGAACGCUGGCGGCGUGCCUAAUACAUGCAAGUCGAGCGAAUGGAUUAAGAGCUUGCUCUUAUGAAGUUAGCGGCGGACGGGUGAGUAACACGUGGGUAACCUGCCCAUAAGACUGGGAUAACUCCGGGAAACCGGGGCUAAUACCGGAUAACAUUUUGAACUGCAUGGUUCAAAAUUGAAAGGCGGCUUCGGCUGUCACUUAUGGAUGGACCCGCGUCGCAUUAGCUAGUUGGUGAGGUAACGGCUCACCAAGGCAACGAUGCGUAGCCGACCUGAGAGGGUGAUCGGCCACACUGGGA